AGGGUUUGAUCMUGGCUCAGAUUGAACGCUGGCGGUAUGCUUAACACAUGCAAGUCGAACGGAAACGAUGGAAGCUUGCUUCCAGGCGUCGAGUGGCGGACGGGUGAGUAAUGCUUGGGAAUCUGCCUAAUAGUGGGGGAAAACACGGGGAAACUCGUGCUAAUACCGCAUAAUCUCUACGGAGGAAAGGGGGCCUCUACAUGUAAGCUCUCGCUAAUAGAUGAGCCCAAGUCAGAUUAGCUUGUUGGUGAGGUAAAAGCUCACCAAGGCUACGAUCUGUAGCUGGUCUGAGAGGACGAUCAGCCACACUGGGACUGAGACACGGCCCAGACUCCUACGGGAGGCAGCAGUGGGGAAUAUUGCACAAUGGGCGCAAGCCUGAUGCAGCAAUACCGCGUGUGUGAAGAAGGCCUUAGGGUUGUAAAGCACUUUCAAUAGAGAAGAAAAGCUUAGAGUUAAUAACUCUAAGCGUUGACGUAACCUAUAGAAGAAGCACCGGCUAAAUCCGUGCCAGCAGCCGCGGUAAUACGGAUGGUGCGAGCGUUAAUCGGAAUUACUGGGCGUAAAGCGCGCGUAGGCUGUUUUAUAAGUCGGAUGUGAAAUCCCCGGGCUCAACCUGGGAACUGCAUCCGAAACUAUUUAACUAGAGUAUGG
Molecule: ribosomal RNA, 654 nt
Filed under: uncultured bacterium
Lineage: Bacteria
Description: bacterial SSU rRNA
Rfam family: Bacterial small subunit ribosomal RNA
Source: RNAcentral